This 114-nucleotide ribosomal RNA is filed under the name Gallionellales bacterium RBG_16_56_9. The record is from RNAcentral. Lineage: Bacteria; Pseudomonadati; Pseudomonadota; Betaproteobacteria; Nitrosomonadales.
UCUGACGACCAUAGCGAGUUGGACCCACUCCUUCCCAUCCCGAACAGGACAGUGAAACGACUCCGCGCCGAUGAUAGUGUGCAGUCCGCAUGUGAAAGUAGGUCAUCGUCAGAC